Molecule: long non-coding RNA, 491 nt
Organism: Dendrobium catenatum
Lineage: Eukaryota; Viridiplantae; Streptophyta; Magnoliopsida; Asparagales; Orchidaceae
Exons: 2
Source: RefSeq, a predicted model, not a curated record
CGGACUUGAUGAAGACCUCCUAAAACCCUAACCCUAAAAACCUCCUAAAACCUCUAUAAAUAUCCCCCACUAGACUUCGGUUCACAGAUCCAGGUCUCUCAGAUGAUGAUGGCGCCGAGCUUGCCUAGUUACGGUGUUUUCUUCCUAUACCUUCUCUUCUCGUGGCCUCGAUCUGAGCCUGGGACGAACAAUCGAAGGCGUCCUGAUGAAGAAGACGAGCAACUGCAUGGUAAAGUAGAUUUGUCGCAAGUGUAAAACGGAGAACGCACAUGGAAAGGAGUUGCAGAAGAGCAGUGAUGUUUCGUCUCAAAACAAUGUUAUUAACAACGUCUUUGAGAGAAGCAGUUUUGCCAAACGAUUAAAAUUUAUUUAUUUUUCAGUUGUAAGAUGAAAAAUGCCUUAGAAACGCCCAACCAAACCAAGCCUAAGUGUUAGGCGAUUAGCAUGAUCCUUUUCAUAAAAAAUGAAUGAUGUUAGGAUACACACUUUAA